This 484-nucleotide ribosomal RNA is filed under the name uncultured bacterium. RNAcentral's name for it is "bacterial SSU rRNA". It matches the Rfam family "Bacterial small subunit ribosomal RNA", at positions 30 to 520 of the family's 1533-position model. The record is from RNAcentral.
AUUGAACGCUGGCGGCAGGCCUAACACAUGCAAGUCGAACGGUAACAGGAAGAAGCUUGCUUCUUUGCUGACGAGUGGCGGACGGGUGAGUAACGCGUGGGUAACCUGCCUUGUACAGGGGGAUAACAGUUGGAAACGACUGCUAAUACCGCAUAAGCGCACAGUACCGCAUGGUACGGUGUGAAAAACUCCGGUGGUACAAGAUGGACCCGCGUCUGAUUAGCUUGUUGGUGAGGUAACGGCCCACCAAGGCGACGAUCAGUAGCCGGCCUGAGAGGGUGAACGGCCACAUUGGGACUGAGACACGGCCCAAACUCCUACGGGAGGCAGCAGUGGGGAAUAUUGCACAAUGGGGGAAACCCUGAUGCAGCGACGCCGCGUGAGUGAUGAAGUAUUUCCGGUAUGUAAACUCCUGUUGUUGAAGGAAGAUAAUGACGGUACUCAACAAGGAAGUGAACGGCUAACUACGUGCCAGCAGCCGCGG